Molecule: long non-coding RNA, 107 nt
Organism: Protopterus annectens (West African lungfish)
Lineage: Eukaryota; Metazoa; Chordata; Ceratodontiformes; Protopteridae
Exons: 2
Source: RefSeq, a predicted model, not a curated record
ACCAAAGCCAAUAAUUCUGCUGGAGAUUCUCUAUUCUCAAACUUUGUAGGUAAAAUGUGAAACUCCCUACCGACCAUGCUCACCUCAGAACCUUCACUCCUACAAUU